AUAUUCAAAUCAUGCCCCCCCGUGACCAAAUUCAUGGAUACAACCAACAUUUAACAAUAGCAGAAUCUAAUAAACCUCAACUAAGUAGAACUUUGAGCAUGAUUAUUAACUCUACAUGAGCAUACAUCAUAUAGAUCCUAACAGAAUAAAUGAUGAUUCAAACUUGUGUGAAACCGAUGAGCUGCACCGAGAGCUCAACACAUGAAUCUAACACCAUAUCACCUCUAGUAGCAACUACAACAUGCUUAACUACAACUAAUUCAGACAAAGUAAUCACAUUAAGUUAAACAAAAACAAAUCAGAGAAAAGCGAUAUGGAACAGUUUCCACGCUUCAAUUCUUCACUUCCAUUUUAUUCCUCAAAUUCACUUCCAACCAAAAUGAGUUACAAGGUCACAUACUUGGAAAUGCAACAAAAGAAGCAAAGAAAUGAGAUAUCAGUAGGAUUAACAGCAGAAAUCAACACCAGCAAUAAUAAUGAAAUAGUAAUAGGAUUAGUAACGCAGAAUCACGUUUGAAAACCCAAAUCCCAGCCUCGAAACCUUUCUAACCAAAUGCCAUAACUUGAAAAUAACCUUUUAUGAUGUUUUUAAACCAAAAACAAGAGAACCAAAAGCUGAAACUUAAUGUGAUUCAAGUAAUUUCACCAAAAGAAUCAAGAAUUAAAUGUUAUUUCAGAGUGCACUCAAAAUGCCUCUCCAUUUCAAGUUUUCCAAAAUUUUUACCCUCUUCCCUCUACCUUGAAGGAAAGAAAAGGUGCCUUUAUAGGCAAGGGAAGUAGGACAAAUAGCAGAUUUUAGUUUUGCAUUUAGGCCCUUUACAAAUAUUCAUUUUUGCCUAGAUGGCCUUAGUUAAAAUCUAAAAAUCAUUUUAAACCUCCCACCCAGCUUCCUAGAAGCUUCUCAAUCAGUUAGCAAAAGAUUCCCCUACCUAAUGUCCCUAAAUUACCCUUCAACACCCUUGUUAUUACUCUAAAAACCCACCAGAUCAAACUAGCCAAGCUAAUUGGGUCAUAGAACCCAAAUUAAAUCCAUAUUUGGGUCUGUUGCUAUAUAUAAAACAAUUACAACACUUAUGGACCCGGAAUAGAGCUAACCCAAAAUUUCUCCAAACAAAGAAGCCUGGAACUAUUUCUUUAAAUAAUAACUACCGAAACAAAAGCAAAAUGACUGAACUAACCAAUCUAAUUUCAUAACAACAAAUUAACUAAAUUAUGCACCUAAUUUCAUUAGCUAAGCGAUUAAUCUGAUAAUGAAACAAUAAUUAUGCUAUGAACACAAAGACUUAGACAAAAAAAAUAAGUUGGAUUAAAAGACUCCGAUAGUCCAGCUUUCACAACAAAAAUAAAAGAAGAGAACGCAGUUUGAACUCAGAAUACCCAAAUGAAUUUUGACCAACCCCAAAGAAAGGGGAUGAGGAGGAAGAUGAACCACUGAAAGAAAAAUACAAGAGGGGGAGAAGAACUUACCCAGUAAUGCUCGAAACUAAACAGAGACAGAAACUCAACCAAGGUUAUGUCGAAUCCGUUAUUUUUUGUCAAGAACAACGGAAUCGACAUUAAUUUUGUCAAGUCAGGCUCUCAAAUUUUCAAAGAAAACACUGCAUGUUACCAGGCUAGAAGGAAGAUGAUUUUGAACUUUUUAGUUGAAUUCGGAUUUAAGAUUCGACGAGUUCAAUAUUGAUUCGAGGGGUAUGGGUUAGGGAUUUGGAGAGAGAAGAUCAUGGUGGGUAUGCGGUGUGAUUUUAGCAUAGAAAGGAGGUGGCACUACCACCUCAUGGCGGUAGGAAAAGGGGGCGACGGGCUAGGGUUCAGAGGUGUCUCUGAUUUUUU
RNAcentral lists this long non-coding RNA (1830 nucleotides) under Nicotiana benthamiana. Its description in RNAcentral is "long non-coding RNA (NBEN_LNC039330)". Lineage: Eukaryota; Viridiplantae; Streptophyta; Magnoliopsida; Solanales; Solanaceae. The record is from RNAcentral.